Lytechinus pictus (painted urchin) is the source of this 4913-nucleotide long non-coding RNA. RefSeq lists it as uncharacterized. Lineage: Eukaryota; Metazoa; Echinodermata; Echinoidea; Temnopleuroida; Toxopneustidae. The record is from RefSeq and is a predicted model, not a curated record. The transcript is spliced from 4 exons.
AGGCUUACAAAGGAAUGCAAGCCGUGAAUACGGGGUACACCACGGCAUCAUCACCACGUGCACCAACAACAACAACGCUUAGAAAGGCUUCAACGAUAGCUGAAUUUAAACUACUGGAAGGUUUUUCCCCACCAGAUAUCCACAGAUUUUCUCUCCUUAUAUCACAGCGUAUGAGAGGAAAGGAGGGAAAAUGCAGGAAGGGAUUUCAUACGUUAUUCUGGCGAUAACCAGAUAUACCUGGUUUUACUGGACAAAUAGGCCUAGGAUAAAUAGGAUCCAGCAGAAAAUGAGGUACAGGAAAUCCACCAGGGACCCAAGCGGCCACCAGGAAACAUCGAUGCAUCAGCACAAGAAUUAACCUUAUGUAGACCAUGUCUUCCACCCCACAUCAGGGCUCAAAUUACGACUGACUGUUGCCCAAUGCAUGCCGAAUCACAAUUCUAAUAGGGCUACGCUAGAGUAUAAUACAGUAUAUAAAUCGCCACCCAUGUGGCCUGGUCAACACGGAUUGGGGCAGGUAUUCAUCAGGAGAUGAUGGCGGGUCAGGUGGAUAGGAGAAUGUUGCUUCGAAGGCGUCCUCGUGAGGCUAUCCUACGGUGAGAUAGGUCUGACGUCCAUCGCGGUUCACCGGCCAAGUCUGUUUCCAAUUUGAGAGAGCCUACAACACGCAGGAUCACCACAGGAAGGUAGAAGGUGUGGCAGUGUACUUCGGUCGACGAUGCGGAUACGAUGGCCUUUACGACUGGAAAGUUCCCCCGAUGCAGAGCAAGAAUUAACCUGGCGUCGACCAAGACUUCAAGAUUUGCUGGUGGUCAACGAUCUGUGAGCACCUCAUGCAUCACGGGCCAAAAACUUGGAGUGGAACAGGCUUACGUUCGAGUAGGUCAGCGAGGAAAAGAACAGGUUUUCAUUAGGAGAUGGUGGCGGGUCAGGUGGAUAGGAGAAUAUUGCUUGGAUUGGAAGGCAUCUGCAUGGGGUUAUCUUCCGGUGAGAUGAGGUCUGAUGCCGCUCUGCUGAUCAUUCAAUUCGAUUUGCCGUUUGAAUGCGAGGACCCAGUUUUACUAUGAGAAGGAUCGAGGAGGAUGUGGAUAACGGACUCCGGUCGAUGGCCAUGCCGAUCCCCAUGGUUGGAAGGUUCACCCGAUGCAGUCUCGUCAUGGUGAGGGGUGAUCAAAGAUCCAGUUGGUCUAUGCCCCCCCCCCCCUUGAUCCGCGCCUGGUUAUGACCAAUAUGACCAACAUCAUCUUGAACUAGGCCGACCAAGACCUUCCUCGCAUAAACGACAACGCUAAUUACCACUUCCCAUGAUCUGUUUUGGGUUUUCAUGGCGUUAUUCAGAUAAAAAUAACGUAUACUGGGCCCCGUCUUACAAAGAGUUACGAUCAAUCGUAACUCUAUGGAAAUCCAUCAAUGUCGUAUUUUUUUCUACAGGAAAUUUGCAAAAUGUCCUUUGUAAACACAGGAGAACACACCAAAUUGUCAAUAAAUCAAUGAAUUUAUGGAUAUACAUUCAUAUCUAGAUUUUUUUUUUUGAACAGACAUGCCUUUCAUAAUGUUGAUUUUGCUGGCUUUCCACAGUUUCGAUUGAGAGGAUCAAUCGCAACUCUUCGUAAGACGGGACCCUGGUGAAAAACUAUAGGUAACACAACCUUUGCCGACUACCUUGAGUAGGGAAUGUUUGUAUUUUACACAUUUACUGUAUGUGAAUUCUCAACUGGUUUCUGUUUAAUUUGCGGGGUGUUCCCAUGCAUGCAUGCUGUGACAUAAAGUCCCUGAAUUUCUCAAGGAAGAGGCUGUAUAAUGUCAUCAUGUCAAACAUAAUAAUAAUGAUUGUUUAAGGACGUUCCACAGUUAAAGUGAAAUCCCUGUCAUUUUCACCAAACUUUGCACAUAGAUACUUUAGAACCUUAAUAUUCGAAAUAUGCAAAAAUUAACAUAGGUCCGUGUGCUUGAUUUUUUGCUAAAGAGCUUCAAAGUUCACCCAAAUUGAUGUUCUUAAGAAUUGCGCAUUCCAAAGAAUUUGGCAUUUUUAGACCACCCAAGAUUACUACAAUGAGUUUAAACCUCUAUUACUCAGUCAAAACGCAUGAAAAAGUCAUCAAAUUUCGCAAAAGAGUUAAUAAUUGUAUCGUUAGAAUGGAGAAUCUAUUUAAAGUGCUAAUUGUUUGCAAUUUUAAGUAUAUCAGCACUGUCAGUUCUUAAAAAAGGCGUAAACGAUAACAAAAUCCCAAUCUAAAAAAUGUAAAAUUUCAGUAACAAACUACAAAAGUAAAAUAAAUGCUGCACUUUAUUCAAAAUCCAUGUCAUUUUCACCAAAAUUUGCAGAGUUGUAGAGGAAGGUAUAUAUCUAAGAGGUACAAACAUUAAAAAAUAGGGGUUCAUGUGCUUGUUUUUAAACUAUCAGCAUUUUUAUUAGAGCAAAUGUGCUUUUUAAAACACAAAAAAAUCGCCGAAUGCUUUGUAUCUAUGUGAAUAAAAAAUCAAAACCACUCUACCAUUUAUUCAAACUUGGGGUAAUAUUCGUGAUUCUUGGCAGCAAUGCUGAGUAAAGUAUUUUGAAAUUGUAGAAUUUUUUUUUGAAUGGUCCAUGGAAUAAUUCCAUUUUUUAGCUUCAUGAAAUAACGCAUCGGAUCUGCAGUUAAAGUGCAGAAGAUGAAAAAUAUCAGCUCAUACCCGCAGCUAAUUGAUCACCUGUUCAUCUAUUGUGACGUCAGCGCAGAGUGUAAACUAUGUGCAGAUCAUAAUGCGCACAAACAUAACUGUGGAACGUCCUUAAUGCUUCAUUAGGAUUUUAGCAGACAUGCGGUCCAUGGCGAUGAAAAAUGAAUUGAAUAACUGAUUGUUGAAGAAAUAUGCCUUUGGAGGCUUUUAAAAUGACAUCGUCUUCUAAAACUCCAACGCUUUGCUUCCUUGCACUGUUCUCUCGAAAUCUCAUUAUUUCACACUCCUAUUUAUUCCUUAUAAAACUGCCUUUUUAUAGGCCUAUUCGGGGUUCAGUAUAGCAGCAUAAAUCCGAGGGCAGCAUGCAGUUUGAGUGGGCAGAAUUUUUUUUUGAUGAAGAUGAAUAUGGGGCCUGAUAUUUAUAAUACAAAAGCUAAAUGCACUUGGCCAAAAAUGAAGCUUGGGGUUUGAAUUCCAUGAAUUCCACAUCUUGUUUUUUUUUUGCUCAGAUGCCUCGCUCACUCAUCUAUUAAAUGUGUUUUUUUUUUGUUAAGAUUAUCCUUGAGAAUCUCAUAAUAUUUUUACAAAACUUGUUGGUUAAAAGGUUCAACAUUAAUUCGGUUACUUACGAAAGGAAUAUGCUUUGAAUAUUUGUCAUUUCUUAAACGAAACAGCAUAGCCGGUGGAAGUGGGGAGGGGGGGGGGGGCAGGAUCAUUUCAAAACAGGUAUAAAAGUGUGGGGAGAAACACGCAUAUUCUGUGGAAAGUUCUGAUCACAUACGUGAUCGUAGAACUUCCCCCUCCUCCAAAAAAUGUGAAAGCUCGCAUUUGUCCGUUCAAAAUUUAUCUGAAUUAAAAAUAAACGUUACGCGCCUUUUCAUUUUAUAUGUGGCCUUAGCGGCCGCCAAAAUCUUAAUGCGAAGGAACAAGCACCCGUUUUUUGUAAAUAGUAUAUAAAUAUUUAAAAUGCAAAAGAAUAUUACAUUGUAAAGUUUGCAUGAAAGUGGCUCCAAUGGUGACAUGUGUCUAAUAAAUUCAUAGCCAUUGUGCUCUAUGCCCAUAAAACUAACAAAACAUAAACUGAAAUUGAAUGGUAAAGAUGAUCAAAAUAAAAUGUUUUUCGUAUUUUCAUAAUUAAAAAACAAUGAUUUGAAAGUAGAAUCAUAAAAAAUGAGAAAUAAAAUUAUGUCCCUUCUUCUGUCGGCUAUGCUGCGUACUUAUGUUUCCUUUAUGGGUUGUUUUACAAUCAGGGAAUAUCAAUUUUAAAUGCUCUCUGUGCAUCAUAAAAAGUAAUGUUAUUGUAAUCUCAAUUCUACGAUGGCAAGUUAUAUGACACUUUGAUAGCAGACUGCGAAGAAGAAAAAUAUUGGACUACACAUUCAUUAUUAAAAAUUUACCAUAAUUUACUUUCCAUUUUUUUUUUAAUUUCGAGCCCGCGCAUGUAUUAUGCAGCCUUGUGCAUCGUCUCACCAAUUAUAAUUGAUUAUUGAAAUUGUUUAAAUUUCUAAAUUCUUAAAAGCUUCAGACAGUUUUUAUUUUAGGGAAAAAUUACUUGAUUGAUAAUGUCUUUGUCUAUACUUGUGUAGUAAUAUGCAAAACUCUUAUAGACGGUUCACUUUGCUCACUUCCGCUUAUUUUUUUUUCAGACGUUUCUCGUUCCACUGUCCAAAAUUACCCCCUGCGAAAAUUGAACACAAACAAGAAAAGUUUGAAAAGAAACUCAAAGCUACAUUUUUGUCAAAUUAGACAGCUGAUCGAGUUUACCCUGAUUGUAUAACAGCCGAUAAUCAUGAUAAAAGCCGUCAGAACAAUACUUCGCUGUUGAAUGCUCCAUGUGAAAUGUCAAACGUCGUCUGUUGAUCAAAUGAUGGUUUAUAACAUAGUGGUGUGGAUCCUUGUUAAAUAUUGGCGGCGGAAGCCAACAAAUUUAGGGGGGGGGGUCCACCUGAAAUUUUGGGAUGAACACAGGUAAAAAUUGGACAAGCAGAAAUUUUAAGGUGGGGGGGGGUCCGCCCCCACCUCAAAUUGAGGGGGGGGGACAGGACCCCCCCCCCCGCUUCCGCCUAUGUUGUAAAACUCCUAAUCUCAAAGCAAUGACCUGUCUGUAUAGAACUGGUCAUAAGAACAAGUCAUCAGCAAAUGUUCAUGUUUGCUAAAACAAAUGAUUGGUCACGUUAUCGAUUUCAUCCAAUCAUUUGUUUGGGAUCCAUAUCACCAUUUUAUAAACAUAAGUAAAUGAUUGUUACACCCUU